GUCAGGUGAUCAUUAGAGAGGAAAUAGGCAACACAUGGCUCUGUGAACAAUGUGUUAUUGUUUGUUAGAAAUCCAGCUACAUCUGCAUACGUCUUAAUGCCUUUGAUCGCAUCGUAUGACAAUUCUGGAGAAAUGGAUCUGCGGGAGAAGAAUCUGAAAAGUGCACAGCGGAUCAUCAGGAUCGAGCUGCCAUCCACCUGGACACCCCGAGGUGCUGGAGAAAGCAAAACGGCGAUCAGGAACAUCCUCCACCCAGACGUCUGCUUACUGCUGUCCUACAGACUUGUGUCUUAGUUUCAGAAUUAGAUUUUGUGUGUGUCCUUUCUUUUAAUAGAUAUUUAACGAUUAUAGCUUGAGUCGGUCUGAUUCCCCAAACAGCUGUUUCUAUAUACUUGCUGCACAUAUAAUACAAAUAAAGAACUCGAUAAAUA
This is a long non-coding RNA of Gymnodraco acuticeps, 431 nucleotides long. RefSeq lists it as uncharacterized. Lineage: Eukaryota; Metazoa; Chordata; Actinopteri; Perciformes; Bathydraconidae. The transcript has 2 exons. The record is from RefSeq and is a predicted model, not a curated record.